RNAcentral lists this ribosomal RNA (587 nucleotides) under uncultured bacterium. RNAcentral's name for it is "bacterial SSU rRNA". It matches the Rfam family "Bacterial small subunit ribosomal RNA", at positions 338 to 916 of the family's 1533-position model. The record is from RNAcentral.
CCUACGGGAGGCAGCAGUAGGGAAUCUUCCACAAUGGACGAAAGUCUGACGGAGCAACGCCGCGUGAACGAUGAAGGCCUUCGGGUCGUAAAGUUCUGUUGUCAGGGAAGAACAAGUACCGGAGUAACUGCCGGUACCUUGACGGUACCUGACCAGAAAGCCACGGCUAACUACGUGCCAGCAGCCGCGGUAAUACGUAGGUGGCAAGCGUUGUCCGGAAUUAUUGGGCGUAAAGCGCGCGCAGGCGGUUCCUUAAGUCUGAUGUGAAAGCCCCCGGCUCAACCGGGGAGGGUCAUUGGAAACUGGGGAACUUGAGUGCAGAAGAGGAGAGCGGAAUUCCACGUGUAGCGGUGAAAUGCGUAGAGAUGUGGAGGAACACCAGUGGCGAAGGCGGCUCUCUGGUCUGUAACUGACGCUGAGGCGCGAAAGCGUGGGGAGCAAACAGGAUUAGAUACCCUGGUAGUCCACGCCGUAAACGAUGAGUGCUAAGUGUCAGGGGGUUUCCGCCCCUUAGUGCUGCAGCAAACGCAUUAAGCACUCCGCCUGGGGAGUACGGCCGCAAGGCUGAAACUCAAAGGAAUUGACGG